GACGAACGCUGGCGGUGUGCUUAACACAUGCAAGUCGAACGGUAAGGCCCUUUCGGGGGUACACGAGUGGCGAACGGGUGAGUAACACGUGAGUAACCUGCCCUCAUCUCUGGGAUAACAGUCGGAAACGGUUGCUAAUACUGGAUAUGAGCUUGCAAGGCAUCUUGUGGGUUGGAAAGAUUUUUUUGGUUGGGGAUGGACUCGCGGCCUAUCAGCUUGUUGGUGAGGUAGUGGCUCACCAAGGCUUCGACGGGUAGCCGGCCGGGGAGGGCGACCGGCCACAUUGGGACUGAGAUACGGCCCAAACUCCUACGGGAGGCAGCAGGGGGGAAUAUUGCACAAUGGACGGAAGUCUGAUGCAGCAACGCCGCGUGCGGGAUGACGGCCUUCGGGUUGGAAACCGCUUUCAAUUGUGACGAAGCUUUUUGUGACGGUAGCAGUAGAAGAAGCACCGGCUAACUACGUG
Molecule: ribosomal RNA, 466 nt
Filed under: uncultured bacterium
Lineage: Bacteria
Description: partial 16S ribosomal RNA
Rfam family: Bacterial small subunit ribosomal RNA
Source: RNAcentral